Molecule: ribosomal RNA, 253 nt
Filed under: uncultured bacterium
Lineage: Bacteria
Description: partial 16S ribosomal RNA
Rfam family: Bacterial small subunit ribosomal RNA
Source: RNAcentral
UACAGAGGGUGCGAGCGUUGUUCGGAAUUAUUGGGCGUAAAGCGCAUGUAGGCGGUCUGUUAAGUCGCGUGUGAAAUCUUCCGGCUCAACCGGAAAAGUGCGCGCGAAACUGGCGGACUUGAGUGCCGGAGAGGGUGGCGGAAUUCCCGGUGUAGAGGUGAAAUUCGUAGAUAUCGGGAGGAACACCAGAGGCGAAGGCGGCCACCUGGACGGACACUGACGCUGAGACGCGAAAGCGUGGGGAGCAAACAGG